UCCCAUGUGGUCUAGUGGUUAGGAUUCUGGCUUUCACCCAGGCGGCCGGGUUCGAUUCCGGCGUGGAAA
RNAcentral lists this transfer RNA (69 nucleotides) under Trichonephila inaurata madagascariensis. It matches the Rfam family "tRNA". Rfam says of the family: Transfer RNA (tRNA) molecules are approximately 80 nucleotides in length. Their secondary structure includes four short double-helical elements and three loops (D, anti-codon, and T loops). Lineage: Eukaryota; Metazoa; Arthropoda; Arachnida; Araneae; Nephilidae. The record is from Rfam by way of RNAcentral.